This 460-nucleotide ribosomal RNA is filed under the name uncultured bacterium. Its description in RNAcentral is "partial 16S ribosomal RNA". It matches the Rfam family "Bacterial small subunit ribosomal RNA", at positions 338 to 795 of the family's 1533-position model. The record is from RNAcentral.
CCUACGGGUGGCAGCAGUGAGGAAUAUUGGUCAAUGGACGCAAGUCUGAACCAGCCAUGCCGCGUGAAGGAAGACGGCUCUAUGAGUUGUAAACUUCUUUUGUAGGGGUGUAAAGGCAGACACGUGUAUCUGUCUGAAAGUAUCCUACGAAUAAGCAUCGGCUAACUCCGUGCCAGCAGCCGCGGUAAUACGGAGGAUUCAAGCGUUAUCCGGAUUUAUUGGGUUUAAAGGGUGCGUAGGCGGACGGUUAAGUUAGAGGUGAAAUUCCGGGGCUCAACAUCGGAAUUGCCGUUGAAACUGGACGGCUAGAGAGUAGUAGCGGUAGGCGGAAUGUGUGGUGUAGCGGUGAAAUGCUUAGAGAUCACACAGAACGCCGAUUGCGAAGGCAGCUUACCAAGCUACAACUGACGUUGAGGCACGAAAGCGUGGGGAGCAAACAGGAUUAGAUACCCGGGUAGUC